This 254-nucleotide ribosomal RNA is filed under the name uncultured bacterium. RNAcentral's name for it is "partial 16S ribosomal RNA". It matches the Rfam family "Bacterial small subunit ribosomal RNA", at positions 524 to 776 of the family's 1533-position model. The record is from RNAcentral.
GACGAACCGUGCGAACGUUAUUCGGAAUCACUGGGCUUAAAGCGCGUGUAGGCGGCCCGGCACGUCCGUCGCUGAAAUCCCCCGGCUCAACCGGGGAAGUGGCGUGGAUACGGCCGGGCUGGAGGGGGGUAGGGGGAGCCGGAACUUCCGGUGGAGCGGUGAAAUGCGUUGAGAUCGGAAGGAACGCCCGUGGCGAAAGCGGGCUCCUGGACCCCACCUGACGCUGAGACGCGAAAGCCAGGGGAGCGAACGGG